GACGAACGCUGGCGGCGUGCUUAACACAUGCAAGUCGAACGGAAAGGCCCUGCACUUGUGGGGUGCUCGAGUGGCGAAAGGGUGAGUAAAACGUGAGUAAAAUGCCCUUGACUUUGGGAUAAAUUCAGGAAACUGGGGCUAAUACCGGAUAGGAGCUCCUGAUGCAUGGUGGGGGUUGGAAAGUUUCGGAGGUUGGGGAUGGAAACGCGGCUUAUCAGCUUGUUGGUGGGGUAGUGGCUUAACAAGGCUUUGACGGGUAGCCGGCCUGAGAGGGUGACCGGCCACAUUGGGACUGGGAUACGGCCCAGACUCCUACGGGAGGCAGCAGUGGGGAAUAGUGCACGAUGGGCGGAAGCCUGAUGCAGCAACUCCGCGUGCUGGAUCACGGCCGUCGGGUUGUAAACCGCUUUCGCCUGUGACGAAGCGUGAGUGACGGUAAUGGGUAAGGAAGCACCGGCUAACUACGUG
This 468-nucleotide ribosomal RNA is filed under the name uncultured bacterium. Its description in RNAcentral is "partial 16S ribosomal RNA". It matches the Rfam family "Bacterial small subunit ribosomal RNA", at positions 28 to 507 of the family's 1533-position model. The record is from RNAcentral.